This is a long non-coding RNA of Oxyura jamaicensis (ruddy duck), 396 nucleotides long. RefSeq lists it as uncharacterized. The record is from RefSeq and is a predicted model, not a curated record. Lineage: Eukaryota; Metazoa; Chordata; Aves; Anseriformes; Anatidae. The transcript has 3 exons.
AAGGUCUCAGUCUCUGGAACGUUGCUGGCCAAUGUCUUAGGUAAUAAAUGCUGUGGAUGGAGGAAUGCAGCCUUGUUAUUGCCUGGCUAAGGGGAAUUCAUUCUACACAUUGGCUUUCCUGGAGUUUUCCACCCGGGCGUCGUUGACUCCUCACCACCGCAUAGAUAUUUCUGUAUUUCAGCAAAAUUUCCCACUUCUAAUCUGGAUAGUCCUGGCUGGGUGGAGUGCAAAACCCACAUUGUUAACUCCGGAUAACAGUAAUUAAAAGAAAAUAAAAUCAAAGGUGCUCAGAAAAGAAAUGGAACAUUUUUCUCUGGAAGCCAAAAGAUUAUAUUAAACUUUGUCGGUUUAAUAAAAUAUUAUGAAGUUUGGGAGCGUAUUUUCCCUGGGACUUAA